Molecule: ribosomal RNA, 253 nt
Filed under: uncultured bacterium
Lineage: Bacteria
Description: partial 16S ribosomal RNA
Rfam family: Bacterial small subunit ribosomal RNA
Source: RNAcentral
UACGGGGGGGGCAAGCGUUGUUCGGAAUUACUGGGCGUAAAGGGCUCGUAGGCGGCCAACUAAGUCAGACGUGAAAUCCCUCGGCUUAACCGGGGAACUGCAUCUGAUACUGGAUGGCUUGAGAUUGGGAGAGGGAUGCGGAAUUCCAGGUGUAGCGGUGAAAUGCGUAGAUAUCAGGAGGAACACCUGCGGUGUAGACGGCUUUCUGGACCAUUGUUGACGCUGAGACACGAAAGCGUGGGUAGCAAACAGG